This 222-nucleotide long non-coding RNA is filed under the name Hordeum vulgare. RNAcentral's name for it is "long non-coding RNA (HVUL_LNC004080)". Lineage: Eukaryota; Viridiplantae; Streptophyta; Magnoliopsida; Poales; Poaceae. The record is from RNAcentral.
ACAACAGCAACAACAUCAACAGCAACAACAGCAGCAACAACAACAACAACAACAACAAGAACAACGACAACGACAACAACAACGGCAACGACAACGACGACGACGACGACGACAACAACAACAAUAACAACAACAACCACAACAACAACAACAACAACAACAACAACAACAACAACAACAACAACAACCACAACAACAACAACAACAACAACAACAGCGACG